Molecule: long non-coding RNA, 3051 nt
Organism: Grammomys surdaster
Lineage: Eukaryota; Metazoa; Chordata; Mammalia; Rodentia; Muridae
Exons: 2
Source: RefSeq, a predicted model, not a curated record
UAGAAAUAUAUGCCUGUUUUGUAUAUAUGUCUAUCGACAUAUUCUAAAAUCAAUUACAUAUUUAUGCUUUUAGACAUUUACAGCCAAACUAAAUAUAUACAUAUAAUCAUAAAAGUGCAUUUUUUCAAACAAGUAGAAUAUAUCAAAGUCAAUUCAGACAAGCCAUAUGUUGUAACUUAUUUUCACAACCAUGCCUAAAAGAGAAAAUGAGUCACCAAGUUCAGUUCUGGCCGAUUUCUUAGAAAUAUUUUCUUUUUCAUGUCAAAACCAUGAAAGUUAAAAAAAGAAAGAAAGAAAGAAAGAAAAAGAGAGAAAAGAAAGAAUUAUGUGAGUGAAAUCUCAUUUAACCUCAAGUCAACUGAAAGAGUGGAACCAAGAGGCAAUAAAAUAGAGGCGCCCAGCACCAGGAAAUCAACCUGCUAUAAAGGGCGACACAUGCCACUUUUUUCCUCCCGGUGGCAGAUGCCACACCCUAAAAGCAGACAGAAGGCACAGCAGCCUGCAGGAGUGCAGGAGCACAAAGCCUGCAGGACUUGGUUUUGUCUUUCCACAGAGAAUGCUAAACUGUCUUUUAAAAUACGUCUUUGCUGAAGAUAAAUCAUGGACUCCUCUACAUUCAAGUUCCCAGCACACCUCCUUGGGAAAGCAUAACAAAAGUAUCUUAAAGUUUCCGGGAACACCCCCCUCCCCCCCCCCCCACCCCGUGCUUGAUAAGGAAAAUGGCACUUGCUGGGGUUUGUUAUAAAAUAAUGAAACAAGCUCACCAUUCAGCAAAGUGCAGUCUCAACCCUAGUUUAUUUCCCUGGCCUGGCCCAUCCUGUGUGGCAGCUCAGCCUUGACUCUUUUGGUGCAAAGGAGCAAUAGAAAUCUCCGCCAUGGGUUUGUCUUAAUGAGUCCCUUAAUCUUACACCUCUUGUGCCUAAAUUUCAAGCCCUAAUGACACUUGUGUUUUUGCUGUCACCACAAGGAAGCCUUGGGGGUGGCAAGCUGCUGGUGGCCUUGACCGAGUUGUAGUCCUCAGCCAACCUCCCACCCACGGUUCUCCCCAGCCCUUCGUGUGUAGCCAGAGGAUUACCCAUUAUUUUGUUAAACAUGCCUUUCUAUUACAAAAGGUUUUCUCUGUCCCCCUCUGACUAUAUGGAAAUAUUAAUAUUCAAAUACCGCGUCUUUUGAAUAAGUUUUAGGGCGCUGAAUGAAAGGCCCUUCAACUUGCCCACUGAACGAGAAUUGAGCCAGAUGGUAGUUUUAAGAACCCCACAGUUUUGUUCCUUUUGCCUCUCCAAUGCCCGUCGCACUGUUUGCUCUCAGAUUAGCCCGUUUUACUGUUCUCCUUAUUUACUCGGUGACUGAAGCAAUCACGAUUCACUGCCCGUCAUAUUUCUCAGUAUUCUCUCUGUAAUUUGGAAGCAAUUUGGAAUAAAGCCCUGUCAAGGUUUUACAAAUAAGAACUAUUAAAGAAUAAGGCUUUGGAUACUUGCUUUCCUUUUAGAUUUAUGAGAGAUGCGGUGAAUGGGGCUAAUGGGAUUUCCCUACUGAUCUUGGUCAGGGACUUUAAAAAGCACUAAACAAUUGUCCUAUUCACAUCCCAGAUUUAGACGUUAGCAAUGAAUAACUCUGAGUCGGCGCAGGAUAUGGGCUCUACAGCGGUUGGAUUGGAAACAGUUAUGCAAAUCAUCACUGGCCUGUAAGUUCAGAAUGCUAAACAAUUAGGUAGUGGAAGGGGGGAAUUGAGAGGGACAGACAGGAAUAGGCAACAAAUAUUUUAAAACAAUUUGGCCAACAGCAGCAGCAUUAUAUUUGUUGAAGAGAUUAAAGCAGGCACAGUAACCAGUGUGGGGAUAAGUUAUACCUGAUUGUCCAACGGACUUGGAAUCUAGUUCAGGCAGCAUCCAGAAAAGAAAACCUUGUUACCUGAGCCCAGUCCUGAAUAGGGAUCAACUAUGAACAUUUGCACCCAAACCCUUUCAUGUUCUAGGCGACUUGACCACUGAAGAACUGAGUUCAGAUUUCCUCACCCGAGGGCACCUAACUCAGCUGUUCAUGGCUGGCAGCCCCUACCAGGGAUCUACACAGCUCCUCGGACACUAAGACCACCAGCUUAUCAUUAGGCCAGUACAGUGUGUCUCCAAAGACCCUGAGAACACAGUGUUGGCCGUGAACCAUACGAAGGAGUACUGGCAAAUGCCUAUGGCCCCAACUGCUGAGGAGGCUGAAGCCAAAGGAUCACAAGUUUGAAGCAACUUCAGUAAGACCCUGUCCAAAAGAUUUAAAAAGCCUGGCGAUAAUAGCUCAAUGGUAGAGUGCUCUCCUACCGUGUUCAAGGCCGUGGGUUCAAGCCCCAUCACUGGAAAAGCAGUGUGUGUGUUCUUCCGUUGAUCGUUACUGUCAUUCAAAUGCUUCCCAUCACCAGUGAGAUGCCGCUUGUCUUGAAUCACUUUAUAAAUCACUGUAACUCCUCAAAAAUAAAUACUUGGCUAGUAAACAUAUUUGAUAUAAUGCAUAAUAACCACUUAUACAAGAGAGUCAUUCGGGAGUCCAAUCAACUCCAUUUCUGUCACUUAAUCUGAGGGCUUUCCCGGUCUUUUUCACAGAUGUGAAUAAUUGCUUUAUAGUACAUAUGGACCAUGAAAAUAAAGCCAGUUUUCAAGCCAUUCCUUUCAAAAAUGAAUUCCAAAUGGGCUAUAUGCACUAAUGCGGUGCGUUCCUCGUUUUCAAUGUGAAUACACUUGCUUCCGGCCUCGUCCCAUUGUGAAAGCCAAUGGUCACCUUUACAGGAUGCGUUAGUGACAGGCUCCCGGUUGUACUGGUAUGUGCCGAGGGACUUAGUCCUACCUUUCUCUUACAGAAAGUGACAUAAUUUCACUGAGGAAUUUCCUUCUUGGUGCAUAUCCCCCAAAAAUGUAUGUUGUUAAUUACAAGGAAUUGUUUCUUCACAAAACUUAAAAGUAUUUCUCAUUGUACCAUCUUAUUCUAAGAUGUAAAAUUCUGUGACCUCUCUCUUGUAUCUUCAGAUGAGUCUUUAAAAAGAAAAUAAAUUUCCUUUCCUUUUAA